RNAcentral lists this long non-coding RNA (216 nucleotides) under Gossypium barbadense (sea-island cotton). Its description in RNAcentral is "long non-coding RNA (GBAR_LNC020801)". Lineage: Eukaryota; Viridiplantae; Streptophyta; Magnoliopsida; Malvales; Malvaceae. The record is from RNAcentral.
CUCAAUAAAUUGACCAACCAAUGAGUACUUCCACUGUUGAAUGCCUUCAUCAAAAACCUUUGCAGGCGACUUUACCAGAACCUCCCUAUCACAGAUCUGAGGAGGGAAAAAAAAGUGACUAACCCCCAGAAGAAUCAAAAAGACUUCUCCAAUCAAGAGACAAUGCAGUCAUUAACAAGCAAGCAGAAAUCAAUUGAAGUAACAAUGAAGAACAGA